AUCUUUUCUCACUCAUACAUAUUUAUACACUAAGCUAUGUAAUAGUACUCCAUUAACUUUUAAAAAAAAUCAAAUUAAAAAAUAUAUAGAUAAAACUGCAUUAAAUGCAUAAUAAAAAAUUAUAUUUAAUAAUAUUAAGUAAUUAUAAAAUUCAAAGAUUUCAUAAAAAUAAGAGAUUGAUUUUAUAAGCUAAAUUUUAUUGAUGGAUAGCAAUGUAGCACAAGAUCUCUUCUGCAAAUCAUUCCCUAAAUUAACACACAAUUAAACAGUUAUAAAGAAAAACUAUUAUGAAAACAAAGUAACACAACACAUGAAGAAAAAUCAAUUAGCAUCAACAAAACAAUCCUUGUAACAGACAAAACAAACAUACCAUAUAUAAAAAUUGAAACAAAUUUAUUCUUACACUUCUGAAGCAAUAUGACAAGAAGUUUAUGUGAUUAUGCAUAAAUUUAUCCGCAUAUGUCCGCAUAUGUCUGUCAGGGCAAAAUUAUGCAUAAUUUCUUAAAUUCUAAAAACUCAAUCCAUGGUUAGCCAACUUCUGUUUUGUGAUGGAGUUUAUAUGCUCAAUCAUUUCGGUUGUAAGAUGAUUCUUCCAAUCUCCAAUUUGACCAAGACGGAAAAAAUAUUUGUUUUCAACGUUAAAAGACACUUUUUCAGUCUUGUUAACUUCCAAGUUACUCAACUUAUCAAAACUACACAAAUUUAAAAUACCAUCAACCACACCUUUGGAUUCUUCUUCUUGAGAAAAUGGACACUCCAAAAACUUAGCAAUUUCUUUCAAAUAAAAAUAUGGCUUCAUUUUCAUUUCUUCAUAUUUCAAGAACAUUACCUUGUUUGAACUUUCCAAGCUUUUCUUCCAAUAUCCUAAUACAUGCUCCCAAAAAGGUCCAAAAGGACACACUCCUCGACAAAAACACUCAAAAGCCUCUUCUAAUGGAAGUGUUCCAUUCCUUUUUGAUCUAACAUUGCUUAUGAAAUGCCAAAAUGAAACAAAAACAUCUUUAGGAUCUCUACAUAGAUACAAAACUUUGCAAGUUGAGUCUUUCACAGAUUUUGGUAAUGAUUCAUAAGAUAGAUGAGUGGAGAAUAUUCUUGGAGAAGAUAUUGUUUUGAGAUCAGGAACAAAAUCUUUGUUGCAGUAAAGGUCUACCUCCCAAAAGGGAACAAGUUCGUGUGGAUUUUUUGUGAGCAAAGGAUGAUUGCUAUGAAUAUUUGGAUAUUUGUUGCGGUUUAUCAAAGCAAAAGACAAUGCUUUGAGCCAAGUGGUACCUGCUUUAGGAGAAGUGACUAAGAGAAUAUCAGUAUCAAAGGCUUGAAAGUGCUUUUGACAAGAUAUAACAGCUUGAAGAAACUCUGGAGCAAACCAAAAUCCUUGAUAUUGAUGUAAAUGGAUUCCAUUCCAACAUUUUUCCGAUGGCAAUGUGGUUAACAAUUCCUCACAUUCUUCGUCUAAGUCAUAUUCUUGCAUGUAUUUUGGUACAAGAGUUUUUUCACUUAAUUUUUCCAUGGUGAAUAGUAUAACUCAGGUGAUAAUAUUGUGGGUUGAAAUCAAGAUACAAUUGUUUAUAUAUAUAUAAAUAUAUAUAUAUAGAGAGAGAGAGAGAGAGAUAUAUAUUUUUAUUUAUUGUAUAUAAAAAAAUCAUCUUUUGUGUUGUAAGAUUUGUUGUAUUGUAAUUUUUGUGUGCUGGUGAAGGAAAACAAUAAAAAAGGUAUAUAAAGGGAAAAACAUAAUUUGUUUGAGAAAGUUUGUUUCUCCUCUCACCGUGAAUUUGCACAAGAGAGGAUAAAAAACUAAAAAAAAAAUGAAAAAAGAAAGAUUAAAAUAAACUUUUUUAACAAUUAUAUUUUAAUAAAAAAUAUAUAUAUAUAGAACUUUUGCAUAUUAAUUAUUGGUCAUAAUACUAAGAAGACUCAAACAUAAAUAAGUAUAUGAAAAUGUCCUAUGUAGAGAACUUGGAUUCUGCCAAGAAUAUCCUUGACAUGAGAAUUAUUCAUUAAAAUAAAAAUGAUAAAUUUUUCAAUUUUUUCAAUUUAAAUAAUUAAUAUUUUAAAUUAUUUAUCAAAAUAAUCAUGUUUUAAAUUAAAAAAAAUUAUAUCAAAGAGAAUGUGUCAUUGAUAAUGGCGCACGCACUAAAAAAAUACAUUUAGGCGUCGUAGCCCCUAACACAUGUACUACCAAUGUCUCAAUAAGACUGACACAUGCACUAUUGACUUAAUACACACGAAUCAUUAGUUAGGGCGUUGCAAAAAUGAAAUAAAAAUGACACAUAAAUAUUAAAAAACCAAUAAACAUUACUGUCAAUAGUGUGAUGUUGUCUAUGACCUGCUUCGUCUUCCACCUAUAACCCUCUAAUAACUUCGAUUACAAGUAAACCAAACAAGUGGCCCCCUAAUUGCACUCAUGGAUCCGCUCGAAGUACCGUAGGUAAACAACAUCUGUAUAAGGGACACUCUUUUCCAAAAAAAAAAGUUGUGCCAACCAAAUAUAACAGGUAUGCUCUCAUAGCGUACGCUCUAUGGAGCCCUACCAGAUUGUCAUCACAUCUAGCCUCCUCAACUCUAAGGAUCUCAAUAUAUAUGGUGUUCCCGUCUAAGGGUGAUGUCGCCUGGGCGGAAUCCCCACAGAACUAAAGGGCUCACCCUAUAGAUUGAUGACAUGUAUAGAUACCGUUAUCUCCCAUUAAUUAGAGGGAAAUGAGUUCCCCACGAUUCCCUGAAGAAUAAGUAGUCUACAAUUCUCCCUAGUUGUAAGGGAGCGGUUCCCCCAUGUGAGCAGGUACUCUAAACCAUCACAAAACACCAUCGUAGAUGACUUCUCGUUUCCGUGGGUAAGCCCUAACCAUUAUACAACUUAAUAUAUCUACAAAGAUCUCUGAGUUUUCAUGUCCUUUUAGAAGAAACAUGCACACACAUACACAAAAUUUAAUUCAUUUUAAAUUCCUUUAAAUAAUUAUUUUCUCUAAUUAAAAUGUUUCAUUAAAAUAAACUCUUACUUUAUUUAUAAUUUUCUCUUCUGAUUUGAUUUGUCUAUUUAUAAAAUGUACAUGUUUGUUUUUAAUGAAUAAGCAAGUCGCACUAGCAUGUUUGGGAUCAGACCACAACUGCCUUUUAUAGUACAUGUUUGGGACUUUCUCAUAAUUGGUAAUAAGUAGCAUGUGCCAUUAGGGCCCACAUUACUAGACCAAUAUAAUUGUUUACAUGACAAUAAUUGGUAAUCAAUUUUUUUUUUUCACUUUUGUUUUACAAUAAAAUUUUCAAGUGUUUUUUCUCUUCUUCAUACAUUCAACGUCCAAAAUCUAAAAAUCUUGUAUCCUAAUAUACUUAAUAUUUUUCUUUGUUAACUCUCAAUCUCAUAAAUCAAAAUUAUCACCAUGCUUUCAAUUUCACAGGGAUGUCUUUUGUUUUCAAAAAUAACUUUCAUAAAUUUUGAUAAACAAACAUAGGAUAGGAUGAUGUUGCAAAUAUAUAUUAUUUUUUUCCUCUUCAUCCAAUUUUUACAAAUCAGAUAAAAAAAUAGUUUACUUUUGAGAAAUACUCAUACCUUAAAUUUUGAAAUUUGAUAUUUAUAAAUCUAAACUUUUAGAUUUGAGUUUUUAAAAAUCUCAUAUGCACAAAGAUCCAACACACAUGCAUGUAUUUUUUAAUUUCAGAUCUAUAAAUUAAUUUAUUUUUAACUUUAGAUAUGUAAAACUGUUAACAUUUGAUAAGGAUUUUUUUAAUUUCAAAUCUGUAAUAUUUAGAAAGAUGGUAAUUUUUUCAAUGAAUUUAGGGUUGAAAUUCAAAUGUGUUUUCAAUUUCAGAUAUUUUAUGAAGAAUAUGGAUGGAAUUUUCGUGGUCAAAAUAAUUCAUUUUUAAUGGAUUUAGAGAUUAUUUUCAUAUUUAAAACACAUCAUAUAUAUAUAUAUAUAUAUAUAUAUAUAUAUAUAUAUAUAUAUUUUUUUUUUUCUUUUUUCAAAUUUAGAGAAUAACAUUGAAAUUUGAGUUUUUUAAAUAUGAUUUAAUAAUUUAAUAAUAGAUAUAAGUUUGGAAUCUAGAUUUAAUAAUUUCUUAUAUUAUUCAAUGUAAUUUAGAUGAAGAAGAUGAAAAUGAUUGAAUAUUUUUGAAGAUGAAAAAGAUGAAUAUUUAAAAAUGAAAAGAUGAUUUGAAUCAGUGGAUUCACCACCACCUUGUGCCUUAUGCGAUAAUAUCACACCGUCUACCUAUUGAUACCAUAAAAGAAAGUUGUUUUUUUUGAGAUUGAUUGAAAGCUUCGAUGCAAACAUGUUACCCGAGAUGGAUGCACCAUUGUUGAUGCAGAAACAUGUGAAGAUCUUACCACAUAUUAUGUAUCUUCCAUGUUUCUCUCUUGAAUCGCCAUGAAAGCUUAUCUAAAGCUUAGAUUGAUGAACGAAUAUGCACAAAUUGAACAACUUCUCUAAAACUUGAAAUUGAUACCCGAUACACCACACACACAAGUGCGUUGUAGCACGCUGAUGCAGAAGUGUGGAUCAAGAAAGAAGAUGAUUGAAUAGUGCGGAAGAACAAUCCGUUAGUCGACUUAUAUUAUAUUAAAGAUUGAAAUCAUCUUGAAUUUUCCAUUCAACUUUGUUCAUCAUUCUUGUUUUCUAAUAAAGCUUGCAUGAAGUAUAUAUACCAUCCAUGCCAGUGUUGAGGUUGUUACACUUUCGAAGUUAGUUAGAGUUCAUAAAUAACUCUCAAACUUUUCUCACUCAUACUUACUUACUUAUACACUAAGCUAUGUAAUACUAUUCCAUUAACUUUUUUUUUUUAUUUUUUUUUUUAUAAAAAAAAUCACAUUAAAAAUUAUAUAGAUGAAAAUGUACUUAAAUGCAUAAGUAAGAAUUAUAUUUUUAAUAAUAUCAAGUAAUUAAAAAAUUCAAAGAUUUUAUAAAAUACGAGAUUGAUUUUAUAAGCAAAAUUUUAUUAAUGGAGAACAAUCUAGCACUAGAUCUCUUACACAAAUCAUUCCCUAAAUUAACACACAAUUACGAAAUCAUAAAGAAAAACUAUUAUCAAAACAAAGUAAUACAACACAUGAAGAAAAACCAAGUAGCAUCAACAAAACAAACAUACCAUCUAUAAAAAAAAUGAAAGAAAUUUAUUCUUUCACGUCUAAAGCAAUAUGACAAGAAGUUAAUGUUAUUAUGCAUAAAAUUAUCCUCAUAUGUCUGCCGGAGGAAAAUUAUGCAUAAUUUCUUAAAUUCUAAAAACUCAAUUCAUGUUUAACCAACUUUUUUUCUGUGAUGGAGUUUAUAUGCUCAAUCAUUUCGGUUGUAAGAUGAUUCUUCCAAUCUCCAAUUUGACCUAGACGAAAAAAAUAUUUGUUUUCAACAUCAAAAGACACUUUUUCAGUCUUGUUAACUUCCAAGUUACUCAACUUAUCAAAACUACACAAAUUUAAAAUAUCAUCAACCACACCUUUGGAUUCUUCUUCUUGAGAAAAUGGACACUCCAAAAACUUAGCAAUUUCCUUCAAAUAAAAAUAUGGCUUCAUUUUCAUCUCUUCAUAUUUCAAGAACAUUACCUUCUUUGAACUUUCCAAACUUUUCUUCCAAUAUCCUAAUACAUGCUCCCAAAAAGGUCCAAAAGGACACACUCCUCUACAAAAGCUCUCAAAAGCCUCUUCUAAUGAAAGUGUUUCACUACUUUUUGUUUUAAGCUUGUUAAUGAAAUGCCAAAAUGAAACA
This 5687-nucleotide long non-coding RNA is filed under the name Lathyrus oleraceus (garden pea). RNAcentral's name for it is "Pisum sativum (pea) long non-coding RNA (PSAT_LNC037129)". Lineage: Eukaryota; Viridiplantae; Streptophyta; Magnoliopsida; Fabales; Fabaceae. The record is from RNAcentral.